RNAcentral lists this ribozyme (65 nucleotides) under unclassified sequences. RNAcentral's name for it is "pistol ribozyme". It matches the Rfam family "Pistol ribozyme". The record is from RNAcentral.
AGCCGUUCGGGCGACUAUAAACAGGCCUUAGGCCCGAAGCGUGGCGGCACUUGCCGCCGGUGGUA